This is a non-coding RNA of Crepidotus variabilis, 85 nucleotides long. Lineage: Eukaryota; Fungi; Basidiomycota; Agaricomycetes; Agaricales; Crepidotaceae. The record is from the annotation of a GenBank genome assembly.
GGCGCGCUGGCCUAGCGGUUUCAGCGCGUCUUGGGUGGCUGUGCACCAUCCGCAGAGGUCGAGGGUUCGAAUCCCUUGCUUGACA